GCGGGGGUAAUUCAGUGGUAGAAUGCCUCCUUGCCAAGGAGGAUGUCGCGAGUUCGAGCCUCGUCUCCCGCU
Molecule: non-coding RNA, 72 nt
Organism: Acinetobacter sp. CAG:196
Lineage: Bacteria; Pseudomonadati; Pseudomonadota; Gammaproteobacteria; Moraxellales; Moraxellaceae
Source: Rfam